This 529-nucleotide ribosomal RNA is filed under the name uncultured bacterium. RNAcentral's name for it is "bacterial SSU rRNA". It matches the Rfam family "Bacterial small subunit ribosomal RNA", at positions 8 to 526 of the family's 1533-position model. The record is from RNAcentral.
AGAGUUUGAUCAUGGCUCAGGACGAACGCUGGCGGCGUGCCUAAUACAUGCAAGUUGAGCGGCAGCGGAAAGUAGCUUGCUACUUUGCCGGCGAGCGGCGGACGGGUGAGUAAUGUCUGGGAAACUGCCUGAUGGAGGGGGAUAACUACUGGAAACGGUAGCUAAUACCGCAUAAUGUCUCCGGACCAAAGCGGGGGACCUUCGGGCCUCGCACCAUCAGAUGAACCCAUAUGGGAUUAGCUAGUAGGUAAGGUAACGGCUUACCUAGGCGACGAUCCCUAGCUGGUCUGAGAGGAUGACCAGCCACACUGGAACUGAGACACGGUCCAGACUCCUACGGGAGGCAGCAGUGGGGAAUAUUGCACAAUGGGCGCAAGCCUGAUGCAGCCAUGCCGCGUGUAUGAAGAAGGCCUUAGGGUUGUAAAGUACUUUCGGUGAUGAGGAAGGUACUUGGUCUAAUAGGCCAAGUAAUUGACGUUAAUUACAGAAGAAGCACCGGCUAACUCCGUGCCAGCCGCCGCGGUAAUUC